This is a non-coding RNA of Salvia hispanica, 377 nucleotides long. NCBI's taxonomy places the organism in Eukaryota, Viridiplantae, Streptophyta, Magnoliopsida, Lamiales, Lamiaceae. The record is from RefSeq and is a predicted model, not a curated record.
CACUUCUUGCUCAUUCUUGUCUCUUUCCUUACUUGGGGAAUUGGGGAGUAUCCUACUCCUUGUCUAAACUUAGAUCAUGGCAGGAUGGUGAUGUACAUGGCUGUCAUUUGGAGUCUUGAGGGGUUUAAAAUCGAGAAGAAAGAGAAGAGAGGAGGGAUGAUAUAUCUUACUACUAUUUCUAGCUAUUAGUCAAGUCUUGGAGCUUGAAAUCUUUAGAGUAGUAAGUUGUAGCUUCAAAUUCUUGUACUAUAGAAAUGUAGCUUUGAAAGGAAUCUUACUUGUAGCUCCAUGUAUCCAAUUUGUAUAGCAUGUGUUGUACUUUGUACUAAUUUAUUUCUCUUUUCCUUCUUCUAAUAAUUGUAGUUUACAAACUUAAA